GGGCCCGCACAAGCGGUGGAGUAUGUGGUUUAAUUCGAUGCAACGCGAAGAACCUUACCAGGGUUUGACAUCCUGCGAAUCUCUUGGAAACGAGAGAGUGCCUUCGGGAACGCAGUGACAGGUGGUGCAUGGCUGUCGUCAGCUCGUGUCGUGAGAUGUUGGGUUAAGUCCCGCAACGAGCGCAACCCACGUCGUUAGUUGCCAGCAUUUAGUUGGGCACUCUAGCGAGACCGCCGGUGAUAAACCGGAGGAAGGUGUGGAUGACGUCAAGUCAUCAUGCCCCUUACAUCCUGGGCUACACACGUACUACAAUGCUACGGACAAAGGGCAGCAAGUUCGCGAGGACAAGCAAA
RNAcentral lists this ribosomal RNA (353 nucleotides) under uncultured bacterium. RNAcentral's name for it is "bacterial SSU rRNA". It matches the Rfam family "Bacterial small subunit ribosomal RNA", at positions 917 to 1271 of the family's 1533-position model. The record is from RNAcentral.